Small nuclear RNA from Neoarius graeffei (lesser salmon catfish), 115 nucleotides. RefSeq annotates it as U5 spliceosomal RNA. The transcript has a single exon. Lineage: Eukaryota; Metazoa; Chordata; Actinopteri; Siluriformes; Ariidae. The record is from RefSeq and is a predicted model, not a curated record.
CAGCUCAGGUUUUUCUUCAUUAAUGCAUAGAUCUUUCACCUUUUGCUAAAGAUUUCUGUGGAGAGAAAUGCUAACGAGCUUAAUGUAUUUUUGCAGGCUUUGUUCUGGCAGGGCU